Molecule: long non-coding RNA, 1631 nt
Filed under: Homo sapiens (human)
Lineage: Eukaryota; Metazoa; Chordata; Mammalia; Primates; Hominidae
Description: HSALNT0359765
Source: RNAcentral
CUUUAGAGAGCAGGCAAGGCUGUAGGAAUCUCACACCAUCCACCCCACUCUUGCCCUUACACCUCUGGUCCCUGCUUUCCUUCCUGGAGGAGAAGGCAGGUACCUGGCAUGCUGACUCCCAUGUGGGCACAGCCCCACUGCACUCCACCAUGACUGCAAGGACUUGGUAGGACAGACCCUAAGGCCUCCUACUCCCAAUUCCUUCAGAAAUACAGUAGAUCAAGGAGAAAGAAAGAACCCUUAAUUAGAAUGCAGCAGCAUUGGGGUUCUUUUCGCUGACAGGGUGCCCUCUGGGCUUCUUUUUGCUCAUCAGUUUCUGACCACAGGAAGGCAACUCUGGAUGGGAUAAACUCUCUAAACUAUGCCUGUCCAGAGGGUAGGGAGCAGGUGAGCUUGUAGAGGCUGAGGACUGCACAGAUCUCUGCUUUUCCCUGAGCCCUUAGCUGAGCUAAAGGCACAGCUCACCUCACUCAGGUUUACCCUUCCAUUGCAAGCCUGCAUACCCAGCCACAAGCCCACAUUUGGAGAGUGCAGAUGUUUUGUCUACCCAGUCUGGACUUGGGCCGAGCCGCCUCCUCCUAGAGGUGCCCCCCAAAGCAAAAGGGUCCAAAGCCUCCCUUUUCCAUUUCCUGACCCUGAAGAUCCACAUGACUAGCCUUCUCCAUCUUCUCUGCCCCCGGGAGGAAGCCAGCAGAGGUGGGAGCUAGGUAGUUGGUCAGCAGACCUGGCUGAUUGGUCCAAGAAAAAAUAAACCAACCCUUGGCUUGAUCAAAGCUGAGAGGCUGGCAGGGCACAGUGGCUUACGCCUAUAAUCCUAGCACUUUGGGAGGCUAAGGUGGGAGGAUCACGAGGUCAGGAGAUCGAGACCAUCCUGGCUAACAUGGUGAAACACCAUCUCUACUAAAAAUACAAAAAAUUAGCGGGCAUGGUGGCAUGCUCCUGUAGUCCCAGGUACUCAGGAGGCUGAGGUUGCAGUGAGCUGAGAUUGGCCACUGCACUCCAGGCUGGGCGACAGAGAGAGACUCUGUCUCAAAAAAAAAAAAAAAAAAAAAAAAUGCUGAGAGGCUGGGGGCCCUGCUGAGUGGGAGGCUCAUCAGCAACCCUGAAAUGUCAUUGUAGAAAACUGCCCCUGUGAGCCUGAGUAGCUGGAAAUAGCACCAGGAAAGCAGCAAUCCCAGCCUGCAAUAGCUAGGCUAAUUCUCCCCAGCAGCUUUCAUGGAGGACAGUAGUCACUGCCCCCAUUUUCCAUGAAAAGUAACAUGAAUCCUGGCUGUAUAAGGGGCACUUACUGUGCUGGGUGCUAGGCUAAGUGCUGUACAUGCACCUUCUCAGUCCAUUAGAGAAGUCUAGGCUCAGAGAGAGGAGUGGAGUGAGGAUUCCUUGACCCCUCAGACCACUGUGGUCCUCCCAUCCCACCUCCUGGGCAGCCUGGUAGAGGAGACAUUCCUUUAAUUCUUCCUGCCUAAUUUAGAGGCUGGGUGGGGGUCUGAAGGUUCACUCCCUUCACAUCAUCCCACUAGUCUACUUUGGGAAGAAUUACAGGUUGUUGGAGCUGGAAGCCCCAUUCUAGGCAUGGUCUGAAGACCUGAACAAUCCCAGGGGGUGGUGAAGGGGGCAGGGAGGAGAUGGGC